UGAAGUGUAGCUCAAUGGUAGAGCGGCGUAGGGGUAUCUUCGCUGGUCGUUGGUUCGAUUCCAACCACUUCAU
Molecule: transfer RNA, 73 nt
Filed under: Clostridiaceae bacterium
Lineage: Bacteria; Bacillati; Bacillota; Clostridia; Eubacteriales; Clostridiaceae
Description: tRNA-OTHER
Rfam family: tRNA
About the family: Transfer RNA (tRNA) molecules are approximately 80 nucleotides in length. Their secondary structure includes four short double-helical elements and three loops (D, anti-codon, and T loops). Further hydrogen bonds mediate the characteristic L-shaped molecular structure. tRNAs have two regions of fundamental functional importance: the anti-codon, which is responsible for specific mRNA codon recognition, and the 3' end, to which the tRNAs corresponding amino acid is attached (by aminoacyl-tRNA synthetases). tRNAs cope with the degeneracy of the genetic code in two manners: having more than one tRNA (with a specific anti-codon) for a particular amino acid; and 'wobble' base-pairing, i.e. permitting non-standard base-pairing at the 3rd anti-codon position.
Source: RNAcentral